CCUACGGGUGGCUGCAGUGAGGAAUAUUUGUCAAUGGGUGAGAGCCUGAACCAGCCAAGUCGCGUGAAGGAUGAAGGAUCUAUGGUUUGUAAACUUCUUUUAUAUGGGAAUAAAGUGCGGAACGUGUUCCUUUUUGUAUGUACCAUAUGAAUACGCAUCGGCUAACUCCGUGCCAGCAGCCGCGGUAAUCCGGAGGAUGCGAGCGUUAUCCGGAUUUAUUGGGUUUAAAGGGUGCGUAGGUGGUUAAUUAAGUCAGCGGUGAAAGGUUGUGGCUCAACAAUAAAAUUGCCUUUGAAACUGGUUGACUUGAGUAUAGUUGAGGUAGGCGGAAGGCGUGGGGUAGCGGUGAAAUGCAUAGAGAUCACGAAGAACACCGAUUGCGAAGGCAGCUUACUAAACCAUAACUGACACUGAAGCACGAAAGCGUGGGGAUCAAACAGGAUUAGAUACCCGGGUAGUC
Molecule: ribosomal RNA, 460 nt
Filed under: uncultured bacterium
Lineage: Bacteria
Description: partial 16S ribosomal RNA
Rfam family: Bacterial small subunit ribosomal RNA
Source: RNAcentral